Molecule: transfer RNA, 65 nt
Filed under: Chamberlainia hainesiana
Lineage: Eukaryota; Metazoa; Mollusca; Bivalvia; Unionida; Unionidae
Description: tRNA-Glu
Source: RNAcentral
GCCAAUUUGGUGUCACAUACGCACAUUGACCUUUCGCGUCAAAGGGGCAAACAAUGCAUUUGGCC